Molecule: transfer RNA, 70 nt
Filed under: Moricella rufonota
Lineage: Eukaryota; Metazoa; Arthropoda; Insecta; Hymenoptera; Tenthredinidae
Description: tRNA-Cys
Source: RNAcentral
AAUUUUAUAGUUAAAUAUUAAUAUUAGAAUGCAAUUCUAAAGAUAUAAUUAUAAAUAAUUAUUAAAAUUU